This 67-nucleotide transfer RNA is filed under the name Carrikerella sp. RNAcentral describes it as "tRNA-His". The record is from RNAcentral. Lineage: Eukaryota; Metazoa; Arthropoda; Insecta; Mantodea; Thespidae.
AUUUGAGUAGUUUAAUUAAAAAAAAAUUAUGAUUUGUGGAGUCAUAGAUAUCAAAAGGUCUCAAGUU